CGGCGGACGGGUGAGUAACGCGUGGGCAACCUGCCCCAUACAGGGGGACAACGGCCGGAAACGGCUGCUAAUACCGCAUAACACAUGGGAUCCGCAUGUUUCCCAUGUCAAAGAUUUAUCGUCCGGAGAUGAGCUCGCGUCUGAUUAGCUGGUUGGCGGGGUAACGGCCCACCAAGGCGACGAUCAGUAGCCGGACUGAGAGGUUGAACGGCCACAUUGGGACUGAGACACGGCCCAGACUCCUACGGGAGGCAGCAG
RNAcentral lists this ribosomal RNA (258 nucleotides) under uncultured bacterium. RNAcentral describes it as "partial 16S ribosomal RNA". It matches the Rfam family "Bacterial small subunit ribosomal RNA", at positions 96 to 354 of the family's 1533-position model. The record is from RNAcentral.